Ribosomal RNA from Operophtera brumata (winter moth), 213 nucleotides. It matches the Rfam family "Eukaryotic large subunit ribosomal RNA", at positions 1171 to 1379 of the family's 3401-position model. NCBI's taxonomy places the organism in Eukaryota, Metazoa, Arthropoda, Insecta, Lepidoptera, Geometridae. The record is from Rfam.
AACGUAGUGUUAAGGCGCCCAAAAAACGCUCAUGAGACACCAUGAAAGGCUUUGGUCGCUCAUGAAAGCAGGACGGUGGCCAUGGAAGUCGUAAUCCGCUAAGGAGUGUGCAACGACUCACCUGCCGAAGCAACCAUCCCUGGAAAUGGAUGGCGCUGAUGCGUUUUGCCUAUAUACACUACCGGCUGCCGUCGGUGCAGAUCUUGGUAGUAG